Molecule: long non-coding RNA, 586 nt
Filed under: Homo sapiens (human)
Lineage: Eukaryota; Metazoa; Chordata; Mammalia; Primates; Hominidae
Description: HSALNT0016923
Source: RNAcentral
AAUGUUGCCUUCUCACUUUUCUCUCUGUUUUCUAUCUUUUGAUCUGUGGUUCCAUGUACAUAGGACCUUUUGCUCUUUCUUCUAAGUCUCUUACUCUCUUAUUUUAUUUUUAAUCUGUUUUUUGUUUGUUUGUUUGUUUGAGACAGGGUCUCACUCUAUAGCCCAGGCUGAAAUGCAGUAGAGUGAUCAUGGCUUGCUGCAGCCUCAACCUCCUGGGCUCAAGUGAUCCUCCCACCUCAGCCUCCUAAGUAGCUGGGACCACAGGCGUGAGCCGCCAUGACCGGUUAAUUUUUGUAUUUUUUGUAGAGAUGGGGUUUCACUAUGUUGCCCAGGCUGGUCUCGAACUCCUGGACUCAAGCGAUUUACCCAUCUUGUCCUCCCAAAGUGAUGGGAUUAUUGAUAUGUACCACUGUGCCCUGCCUUAUUUUUAAUCUUUUUAUCUCUCAAGCUACAUUGUAGCUAAGCUCCUUAGAUCAUUUCCAAUUUAGUUACUCGCUCUUCACCCAUGUUUAGUUUGCUGUUUAAAACUUACCAAGUUUUUAAUUUCAGUGACCAUAUUUUUGGCUUUUAGAAAAACCAUUUCAUU